UACAGAGGGUGCGAGCGUUAAUCGGAAUUACUGGGCGUAAAGGGCGCGUAGGUGGAUCAGAAAGUUGGGUGUGAAAUCCCUGGGCUUAACCUAGGAACUGCAUUCAAAACUUCUAGUCUAGAGUAUAGUAGAGGGAAGUGGAAUUUCCGGUGUAGCGGUGAAAUGCGUAGAGAUCGGAAGGAACACCAGUGGCGAAGGCGGCUUCCUGGACCGAGAUUGACGCUGAUGAGCGAAAGCUAGGGGAGCAAACGGG
This 253-nucleotide ribosomal RNA is filed under the name uncultured bacterium. Its description in RNAcentral is "partial 16S ribosomal RNA". It matches the Rfam family "Bacterial small subunit ribosomal RNA", at positions 524 to 776 of the family's 1533-position model. The record is from RNAcentral.